This is a long non-coding RNA of Haliotis rubra (blacklip abalone), 236 nucleotides long. RefSeq lists it as uncharacterized. Lineage: Eukaryota; Metazoa; Mollusca; Gastropoda; Lepetellida; Haliotidae. The transcript is spliced from 3 exons. The record is from RefSeq and is a predicted model, not a curated record.
CUGCAGGUGAUUGGUAUGUGAUGUAUUCUGCAGGUGAUUGGUAUGUGAUGUAUUCUGCAGGUGAUUGGUAUGUGAUGUAUUCUGCAGGUGAUUGGUAUAUGAUGUAUUCUGCAGGUGAUGAGUGUGAUGUAUUCUGCAGGUGAUUGGUAUGUGAUGUAUUCUGCAGGUGAUUGGUAUAUGAUGUAUUCUGCAGGUGAUUGGUAUAUGAUGUAUUCUGCAGGUGAUUGGUAUAUGAU